GACGAACGCUGGCGGCGUGCUUAACACAUGCAAGUCACGGGGGUCCCGCAAGGGAUAACCGGCGAACGGGUGCGUAACACGUGAACAACCUGCCCUCGUGUGGGGGAUAGCCAUGCUAACGCGUGGGUAAUACCGCAUACGUUCUUUGGAGGGAGUCCUCUGGGGAAGAAAGCUCUGGCGCACGGGGAGGGGUUCGCGGCCUAUCAGCUAGUUGGUGCGGUAACGGCGCACCAAGGCGACGACGGGUAGCUGGUCUGAGAGGAUGGCCAGCCACAUUGGGACUGAGAUACGGCCCAGACUCCUACGGGAGGCAGCAGUGGGGAAUAUUGCGCAAUGGCCGAAAGGCUGACGCAGCGACGCCGCGUGUGGGAUGACGCC
RNAcentral lists this ribosomal RNA (378 nucleotides) under uncultured bacterium. RNAcentral's name for it is "bacterial SSU rRNA". It matches the Rfam family "Bacterial small subunit ribosomal RNA", at positions 28 to 415 of the family's 1533-position model. The record is from RNAcentral.